AUGAGACAAGUUGUUGCUGAUUAUUGGUGGGGUAGAGAAGAUAGUAAGAGGAAAGUUCACUGGCGUUCAUGGGAAUGGUUAUCCACACCAAAAAAGCUUGGUGGACUAGGUUUCCGUGAUUUUUCGCUCUUCAACCAAGCUAUGCUUGGUAGACAAUGUUGGAGGCUUCUUACUGAGCCAGAUUCUCUUUGUGCUCGGGUUUUCAAAGGACCCUAUUUUCCAUACUACGAUUUUUGGGAUGCGCCCAAGCCUAGGUCUUCAUCCUAUACUUGGAGAAGUAUUCACUAUGACCGAGAG
This 297-nucleotide ribosomal RNA is filed under the name Triticum aestivum (bread wheat). RNAcentral describes it as "partial small subunit ribosomal RNA". Lineage: Eukaryota; Viridiplantae; Streptophyta; Magnoliopsida; Poales; Poaceae. The record is from RNAcentral.